RNA transcript from Zingiber officinale, 2389 nucleotides. It is a transcript of the gene named ubiquitin C-terminal hydrolase 13-like, with no coding region annotated. The transcript is spliced from 2 exons. NCBI's taxonomy places the organism in Eukaryota, Viridiplantae, Streptophyta, Magnoliopsida, Zingiberales, Zingiberaceae. The record is from RefSeq and is a predicted model, not a curated record.
GAUCUGAUGGAGGAGAGAGCCUUGCGAGGACAAGAAGCCUCAUGGACGGUGACCUGAAGGAGCUCAAAGGGUGCUUGGACUUAGGGUUCGGCUUCAGCUACGACGAGAUCCCGGGGCUCUGCGCCAUGUUGCCUGCUCUUGAGCUUUGCUACUCCAUGAGUCGAUUGCUGGGUGGUGGCGCAGGCAAUGCCGGCGAGGACGCGGACGAAUCUUAUGAGGCGAUCACUGCCCUUCCCGUUGCGAACUAGAAGAUCUCUAGCCCUGGUAAGAGGGGAUUUUAUAAUCUAAUAAAAAUAAAAUAAAAUUCACUUAUGCUGGAGCUUGCUUGUUGUUUUUGGUUGGGAUCUUGCUCAAAGUGCUGAGUUUGAUUGUAUGAUUGGGGUUUACAAUUUGGAAGAUCCUUCUAAAGGUGACCAAUGAGAUUUAGUUGCUGAUGAAAAAUUGGUUAAUUGUGUUACAGAUCCUCGUGGUGGUGAUUUACAAAUUUGAAACUUCCCCCUAACAAGACGAACUAUAGGGAUUAACUUUUCAUCUCUCUUUUCAAUAUUCCUGUUUAAAUCUUUGGUCUAAGUGCUUUCUAUCCUUGUAUCCUGGUAAUUGUCGCUCAAUAUUAUUAUUAUAUCUGAUCAAGUUACUCUAAAUGUUUCCUGCCAGACUUUUAAUUUUUUUCAGGGUUUACUUGAUACUUUACCCCUUGUUUCUAAUGAUUCUACCGCUCGAAGUACAUUAUGGUCUAUCCUGCAAAGGGUGUUUUGCCUAGCUGACGAAAAUGACGAUGGUUCACUGGACUCAUCGAUGCAAUGAUUAUAGAAAAUAAGGAUCUUCCUAUAGUAAGAUUUUUUAUUGAUAUAUGUUUCUAAUUUGUAAAUACAAGAAGACAUCUUAUCAAGUGCCAAUUACAGUGAUGGUUAGUGAAUUUCCCCGUGUUUGAACAUGUUAUGUUUUGAUAAAUAUCGAGCAAAGUUCUAUACAUCAAUUAUCACCUCUGGGAUUUAAUCUAUGAUUUCUAUGUUUUAAUUUCUCUAUAUCUAAUAUUUUAUCUUUUAGAAACUUAUUGUUUAUGGUAAAUUUAGUGAAUUAAUGGAUGCUAGUUUAAUUGCCGCAGACAUUUGAAAUAUUAUAUUAUGAGAUAUUGGAUAUUUCCUCUUCCUGAAUUGCAAGGUUUGAAAACUCUAAAAGUAGCAUUCCACCAUGCCACAAAAGAGGAGGUUGGGUUGAUCCUUCUAUUCUUUAUAUAUUCUUAUUUUGUGAAAUUUUCUUAUAACUUAGAUGUUUUAGUUUUAGGUGGCAAUUCACAGCAUUCGACUUCCAAAAAAUAGCACUAUGGCAUGAAGCCAAUAUUUUCUACAUACACUUAGAAUUCCUCUCUUGUUUAGUUGUUUGACAUUUUAACCUUCAUCUUACUUUUUAUCCAUGCAGAUCUUUCUUCCUGGUGAGAAGAUUGAGAACAUUAAUGAUCAGUACUGCACGGUGAGUUUGUAUUGGGGAUAUUUUUACAUUUAUCUAAAAUUUAUUGUUUACAUGCUCUAUUGUGUUGUUUCAUCUAUGUUAGGAGACCUAUCAUUUUCAAGGUAAACUUGUACGAUUUUGUGUCAAAUAUUGUGAUUUAAUGAUAUCUUAUGAUUGAUUGGAUUUGAUUAUUCUCCUUGUAGAUUCCAGAAGAAGUGAAAAACCUUGGGCCUCACGAUCGUUUGAUUCGUGUUUACCAUUUUAAUAGAGAUCCUAAUCAGAACCAAAUGAUAAGUAUAAUGUGUUUGACUUGUGCUAUUUUUUGGAGCUUUGAAUAAAAUAGAUGCAUUUAUCUUUUGGUAAUAACUACCAUAUGAUGUAUUUUAUAUUCUCUGCCAACAAAUUCUUGUGUGAUUUCUUUUUUAUCUGUACUGAAACUUUUUCCCAUUCUUACUUAAUUGCUUUGUAUAGAUAUCCACAUGCUUUACUCUCUAUGCACUGACAGAGACAUAUUUCCAAUUACUUUAUUAUAUACGAUAAAGGAUUAUCCCAAAAACUAGAGUAGUUAGAUAAUUGCAUUAUUAUACAUAUCCAUGAUUACUUUUUACCUCUCUAUAUAUCUUGUGAAGACAAACCUCCCAAAGAACUUCACGUUUUUUGUUUUUUUUGUAGCAAGUUUAGGAUCAUUAGUCAUUAAGGAAGGUGAAACUUUAGCCAAUGUCAAGAUAUGCAUUCAGAAGAAACUGUAAGUUCCCGAUGACGAAUUUUCAAAGUUUGUUAAGGAUCUAAAAAAGGCUGGCAUGAAAGAAUCUCAGCAAGUGAGAAAGAGGAGUCUAAUGAAAUCCUACAAGUUGAAGAUUGUGAUGGGACAAUAAUUAAGUGCAAUUCUACAUGGCAUGAACCAUCAUCACAAGUUUCUAGUCUUUUGGCUAUUGUUCAU